This 460-nucleotide ribosomal RNA is filed under the name Escherichia coli. RNAcentral describes it as "bacterial SSU rRNA". It matches the Rfam family "Bacterial small subunit ribosomal RNA", at positions 161 to 616 of the family's 1533-position model. The record is from RNAcentral. Lineage: Bacteria; Pseudomonadati; Pseudomonadota; Gammaproteobacteria; Enterobacterales; Enterobacteriaceae.
AGCUAAUACCGCAUAACGUCNCAAGACCAAAGAGGGGGACCUUCGGGCCUCUUGCCAUCNGAUGUGCCCAGAUGGGAUUAGCUAGUAGGUGGGGUAACGGCUCACCUAGGCGACGAUCCCUAGCUGGUCUGAGAGGAUGACCAGCCACACUGGAACUGAGACACGGUCCAGACUCCUACGGGAGGCAGCAGUGGGGAAUAUUGCACAAUGGGCGCAAGCCUGAUGCAGCCAUGCCGCGUGUAUGAAGAAGGCCUUCGGGUUGUAAAGUACUUUCAGCGGGGAGGAAGGGAGUAAAGUUAAUACCUUUGCUCAUUGACGUUACCCGCAGAAGAAGCACCGGCUAACUCCGUGCCAGCAGCCGCGGUAAUACGGAGGGUGCAAGCGUUAAUCGGAAUUACUGGGCGUAAAGCGCACGCAGGCGGUUUGUUAAGUCAGAUGUGAAAUCCCCGGGCUCAACCUG